Molecule: ribosomal RNA, 2806 nt
Filed under: Serratia marcescens
Lineage: Bacteria; Pseudomonadati; Pseudomonadota; Gammaproteobacteria; Enterobacterales; Yersiniaceae
Description: partial 23S ribosomal RNA
Rfam family: Bacterial large subunit ribosomal RNA
Source: RNAcentral
GGUUAAGUGACUAAGCGUACACGGUGGAUGCCUAGGCAGUCAGAGGCGAUGAAGGGCGUGCUAAUCUGCGAAAAGCGUCGGUAAGGUGAUAUGAACCGUUACAACCGGCGAUACCCGAAUGGGGAAACCCAGUGUGUUUCGACACACUAUCAUGUCAUGAAUACAUAGUGGCAUGAGGCGAACCGGGGGAACUGAAACAUCUAAGUACCCCGAGGAAAAGAAAUCAACCGAGAUUCCCCCAGUAGCGGCGAGCGAACGGGGAGGAGCCCAGAACCUGAAUCGGCUUGUGUGUUAGUGGAAGCGUCUGGAAAGUCGCGCAGCAAAGGGUGAUAGCCCCGUACACUAAAAUGCACAGGUCGUGAGUUCGAUGAGUAGGGCGGGACACGUGACAUCCUGUCUGAAUAUGGGGGGACCAUCCUCCAAGGCUAAAUACUCCUGACUGACCGAUAGUGAACCAGUACCGUGAGGGAAAGGCGAAAAGAACCCCGGCGAGGGGAGUGAAAUAGAACCUGAAACCGUGUACGUACAAGCAGUGGGAGCACCUUCGUGGUGUGACUGCGUACCUUUUGUAUAAUGGGUCAGCGACUUAUAUUUUGUAGCAAGGUUAACCGUAUAGGGGAGCCGUAGGGAAACCGAGUCUUAACUGGGCGAAUAGUUGCAAGGUAUAGACCCGAAACCCGGUGAUCUAGCCAUGGGCAGGUUGAAGGUUGGGUAACACUAACUGGAGGACCGAACCGACUAAUGUUGAAAAAUUAGCGGAUGACUUGUGGCUGGGGGUGAAAGGCCAAUCAAACCGGGAGAUAGCUGGUUCUCCCCGAAAGCUAUUUAGGUAGCGCCUCGUGAACUCAUCUUCGGGGGUAGAGCACUGUUUCGGCUAGGGGGCCAUCCCGGCUUACCAAACCGAUGCAAACUCCGAAUACCGAAGAAUGUUAUCACGGGAGACACACGGCGGGUGCUAACGUCCGUCGUGAAGAGGGAAACAACCCAGACCGCCAGCUAAGGUCCCAAAGUCAUGGUUAAGUGGGAAACGAUGUGGGAAGGCAUAGACAGCCAGGAUGUUGGCUUAGAAGCAGCCAUCAUUUAAAGAAAGCGUAAUAGCUCACUGGUCGAGUCGGCCUGCGCGGAAGAUGUAACGGGGCUAAACCAUGCACCGAAGCUGCGGCAGCGACGCUUAGGCGUUGUUGGGUAGGGGAGCGUUCUGUAAGCCGUUGAAGGUGGCCUGUGAGGGUUGCUGGAGGUAUCAGAAGUGCGAAUGCUGACAUAAGUAACGAUAAAGCGGGUGAAAAGCCCGCUCGCCGGAAGACCAAGGGUUCCUGUCCAACGUUAAUCGGGGCAGGGUGAGUCGACCCCUAAGGCGAGGCUGAAAAGCGUAGUCGAUGGGAAACAGGUUAAUAUUCCUGUACUUGGUGUUACUGCGAAGGGGGGACGGAGAAGGCUAGGCUAGCCGGGCGACGGUUGUCCCGGUUUAAGCGUGUAGGGGGUGUGACCUGGUAAAUCCGGUUGCAUAUCAACCCUGAGGCGUGAUGACGAUGCACUACGGUGCAGAAGUAGUUGAUGCCCUGCUUCCAGGAAAAGCCUCUAAGCUCCAGGUAACAUUGAAUCGUACCCCAAACCGACACAGGUGGUCAGGUAGAGAAUACCAAGGCGCUUGAGAGAACUCGGGUGAAGGAACUAGGCAAAAUGGUGCCGUAACUUCGGGAGAAGGCACGCUGGCAUGUAGGUGAAGUCCCUUGCGGAUGGAGCUGAAGCCAGUCGAAGAUACCAGCUGGCUGCAACUGUUUAAUAAAAACACAGCACUGUGCAAACACGAAAGUGGACGUAUACGGUGUGACGCCUGCCCGGUGCUGGAAGGUUAAUUGAUGGGGUCAGCCGCAAGGCGAAGCUCUUGAUCGAAGCCCCAGUAAACGGCGGCCGUAACUAUAACGGUCCUAAGGUAGCGAAAUUCCUUGUCGGGUAAGUUCCGACCUGCACGAAUGGCGUAAUGAUGGCCAGGCUGUCUCCACCCGAGACUCAGUGAAAUUGAACUCGCUGUGAAGAUGCAGUGUACCCGCGGCAAGACGGAAAGACCCCGUGAACCUUUACUAUAGCUUGACACUGAACAUUGAGCCUUGAUGUGUAGGAUAGGUGGGAGGCUUUGAAGCGUGGACGCCAGUCUGCGUGGAGCCAUCCUUGAAAUACCACCCUUUAAUGUUUGAUGUUCUAACUCGGCCCCAUAAUCUGGGGUGAGGACAGUGUCUGGUGGGUAGUUUGACUGGGGCGGUCUCCUCCCAAAGAGUAACGGAGGAGCACGAAGGUUAGCUAAUCACGGUCGGACAUCGUGAGGUUAGUGCAAAGGCAUAAGCUAGCUUGACUGCGAGAGUGACGGCUCGAGCAGGUACGAAAGUAGGUCUUAGUGAUCCGGUGGUUCUGAAUGGAAGGGCCAUCGCUCAACGGAUAAAAGGUACUCCGGGGAUAACAGGCUGAUACCGCCCAAGAGUUCAUAUCGACGGCGGUGUUUGGCACCUCGAUGUCGGCUCAUCACAUCCUGGGGCUGAAGUAGGUCCCAAGGGUAUGGCUGUUCGCCAUUUAAAGUGGUACGCGAGCUGGGUUUAGAACGUCGUGAGACAGUUCGGUCCCUAUCUGCCGUGGGCGUUGGAAGAUUGAGAGGGGUUGCUCCUAGUACGAGAGGACCGGAGUGAACGCACCACUGGUGUUCGGGUUGUCAUGCCAAUGGCAUUGCCCGGUAGCUAAGUGCGGAAAAGAUAAGCGCUGAAAGCAUCUAAGCGCGAAACUUGCCUCAAGAUGAGUCUUCCCUGGGCCUUUAAGG